Zalophus californianus (California sea lion) is the source of this 384-nucleotide long non-coding RNA. RefSeq lists it as uncharacterized. Lineage: Eukaryota; Metazoa; Chordata; Mammalia; Carnivora; Otariidae. The record is from RefSeq and is a predicted model, not a curated record. The transcript is spliced from 3 exons.
GAAAAGGUGGGGAAGCAUGAAGAGAAGCACGGAGGAGGGAAAGAGAGUGCAGUGUUAGGGAAAUGCCAGGAGCCAGGCUUGGCUGCUAUGCAGAACAUUUGGUGAAAAGUUGAAGAAGUUGGAAAGAAAGGCCAGAAAGAGAACGUCUUACAUGCAAGUUCCUGAAAUGACAGAGAGUGUACAGGUUGUCGCUGUGAAUGGCAAACCCCAAGGCUGGGCUCUCAGGUGCCUCCAUCAUUCAGAGGGGAGUCGCUGAGAGUUAUUUCUUCGCCAUUCCAGGAAGCCAGCUCUCUGUCUUCCCAUCCCCUUGUCUGCAGCCAGAGGCAAGAUUGUGGAGGUGGAUUCAGGAGACGGGGAUGACAAAGAUGGGUUUUAACAGCUGCC